This 617-nucleotide long non-coding RNA is filed under the name Homo sapiens (human). RNAcentral's name for it is "HSALNT0246180". Lineage: Eukaryota; Metazoa; Chordata; Mammalia; Primates; Hominidae. The record is from RNAcentral.
CUCCGGUGGAGAUAAGCGUCCACUCUGCUGGGAGGACCAAGGCCCUUUCCAGCCUUUCCCCUGAGCUCCAGGCCCGUGUCUUUCUGGCCCCAAACAGAACCAUGCCCGGGGCAGAGACGGGGGCUGGUCUGGAGCAGACACAGGCAGGUGGUCACGUCCCACCAGUGACUCCACACAUCUCUCUGGGCCUCAAUUUCCCCAGCUCUCUGGGGAGAGGCCGCUUCCAUGAUUGGCCCGGCAAUGUCUGAUUUCCCUUCUGAGUUCCAGACGCCAGCUUUGACCCAGUCCUGCUAAAACCCGACAGCAUCCCAGCUGACCCUGCUGUGAGAGCAGCUUCCAGAGCCGGUUCCCUCCUGGGGCGGCGUGCUUAGCAACACCCAGGGGGCAGCCCUCCCUGGCCUCCGUGCCAGCCUGUGCUCAGCGAUGGUGCUUAUCGGGCCGGGGAGUGUCCUUUAAGUCAGGGGUCCCCAACCCCUGGGCCACGGACCUGUUGGUGUCCUGUUAGGAACCGGACUGCACGUCAGCAAGUGAGCUGCGGGAUAUCAUAACUAGGGGGGCGGCAACCAUCCUGUAACCACGAGGACAGAAGCCGAAAGCCACCAAGAGACAGAACCCUU